Molecule: ribosomal RNA, 454 nt
Filed under: uncultured Parabacteroides sp.
Lineage: Bacteria; Pseudomonadati; Bacteroidota; Bacteroidia; Bacteroidales; Tannerellaceae
Description: partial 16S ribosomal RNA
Rfam family: Bacterial small subunit ribosomal RNA
Source: RNAcentral
ACGGGAGGCAGCAGUGAGGAAUAUUGGUCAAUGGGCGGAAGCCUGAACCAGCCAAGUCGCGUGAGGGAAGACGGCCCUACGGGUUGUAAACCUCUUUUGCGCGGGGGUAAAGUCGGGGACGUGUCCCCGAUUGCAAGUACCGCGCGAAUAAGGAUCGGCUAACUCCGUGCCAGCAGCCGCGGUAAUACGGAGGAUCCGAGUGUUAUCCGGAUUUAUUGGGUUUAAAGGGUGCGUAGGCGGAGGAUCAAGUCAGUGGUGAAAUGGUGCGGCUCAACCGUAGCAUUGCCGUUGAAACUGGUUUUCUAGAGUGCGAAUGAGGUGGGCGGAAUGUGUCAUGUAGCGGUGAAAUGCAUAGAUAUGACACAGAACACCGAUUGCGAAGGCAGCUCACUGGGACGCAACUGACGCUGAGGCACGAAAGUGCGGGGAUCGAACAGGAUUAGAUACCCUGGUA